Molecule: long non-coding RNA, 564 nt
Filed under: Oreochromis niloticus (Nile tilapia)
Lineage: Eukaryota; Metazoa; Chordata; Actinopteri; Cichliformes; Cichlidae
Description: lncRNA (ENSONIG00000037393.1)
Source: RNAcentral
AACAGACCCCACCACUCUGCAGUCUGCCCCCCUGCGCACUGGUAGCAACCGUCAUAAUGCCCCGCCCAGCUAUCAUAAUGCCCCACCCAGCUUCCGGCACCUUUCGCCACUCCGGCACAAACCGACACAGCUUUGCGAUCUCGCCAGCAUGCAGAGUCUGAUGUCUUCCCUAUAGAUGAUUCCAGAGACUCUGUGAGGCCACUAUUACAAGGCAAGUUUGAAAAUCUUGGAAUUUCACAGUUUACAUGGUAUAACAAAUAUAUGUGACAGGCAAAAACUAGUAAACACUUUUAGCAGUUACAAGAACUAACACAUGAAUAUCCAACAAAAGGGAAUAGAAAUACAUUGUACUGCCAAUACUUUGGUUUAUUCUUUGUAUGACUUGAAAAUCAGGCUUUAGGGAAAACUAAAUGACAUGUUUCUAUCAUCAAUUACAUGAAGUAAACACACAAGCACUUGCAUACACAUUUAAGACAUGAGACACGCUAAUUCCAUCUCUUAAAAUGUGUCUAUAGGUGAGACGCUUUGCGUUGAUUGGUGCUACUGGACCACACUGGAGGUGCG